GAUGAACGCUGGCGGCGUGCCUAAUACAUGCAAGUAGAACGCUGAAGGAGGAGCUUGCUCUUCUGGAUGAGUUGCGAAAGGGUGAGUAACGCGUAGGUAACCUGCCUGGUAGCGGGGGAUAACUAUUGGAAACGAUAGCUAAUACCGCAUGACAACAGUUAUUGCAUGAUAACUGUUUAAAAGGGGCAACUGCUCCACUACCAGAUGGACCUGCGUUGUAUUAGCUAGUUGGUGAGGUAACGGCUCACCAAGGCGACGAUACAUAGCCGACCUGAGAGGGUGAUCGGCCACACUGGGACUGAGACACGGCCCAGACUCCUACGGGAGGCAGCAGUAGGGAAUCUUCGGCAAUGGACGGAAGUCUGACCGAGCAACGCCGCGUGAGUGAAGAAGGUUUUCGGAUCGUAAAGCUCUGUUGUAAGAGAAGAACGAGUGUGAGAGUGGAAAGUUCACACUGUGACGGUAUCUUACCAGAAAGGGACGGCUAACUACGUG
This 495-nucleotide ribosomal RNA is filed under the name uncultured bacterium. Its description in RNAcentral is "partial 16S ribosomal RNA". It matches the Rfam family "Bacterial small subunit ribosomal RNA", at positions 28 to 507 of the family's 1533-position model. The record is from RNAcentral.